CGUAGAGCACGCGCUUGCGCAUAACUGGGCGUCUGCCCCCGCAGCGGCGGACCUUUUAAACGCGAGGCACACGG
RNAcentral lists this small nucleolar RNA (74 nucleotides) under Vicugna pacos (alpaca). Lineage: Eukaryota; Metazoa; Chordata; Mammalia; Artiodactyla; Camelidae. The record is from RNAcentral.